RNAcentral lists this long non-coding RNA (1194 nucleotides) under Lepisosteus oculatus (spotted gar). RNAcentral's name for it is "lncRNA (ENSLOCG00000022933.1)". Lineage: Eukaryota; Metazoa; Chordata; Actinopteri; Semionotiformes; Lepisosteidae. The record is from RNAcentral.
AGAGAGAGAGACAGACUGCAGCGUUAAUUGGAUUUCUCUCCCUUUUGCUCUGUCCCUCACUCCCAGACGCAGGGGACGCCCACCAUCAUGUGCACGGAGUUCGGAGACACAAUCGCGAUCAUCGAGACGGGCGACAGCGGCCUGCCCAUAGCCGAAGCCAUCGAGAUCUACCAGACGGCCAUCGAGAAUGGGCUGGGCCUGGACAACAUCACUCUCCUGUGAGAGAGGCAGACUGGGACAGCAGCCUGGACAACAUCACGCACCUGNGAGAGAGGCAGACUGGGACUGUGGCCUGGGCCUGGCCUGGACAGCAUCACGCUCCUGUGAGAGAGGCAGACUGGGACUGAGGCCUGGACAGCAUCACGCUCCUGUGAGAGAGGCAGACUGGGACUGUGGGCUGGUGUGGUAGCAGACGUAUGGAGACGUAGGGAGACACACUGAUGCAGAGAGAAAGCCAGACGAGCUCGUUUCAUCAACAGCUGUGUCUUCUAAUUGCUGUGUACAAUGUUUAUAUCGUUCAUUGUAAUUAUUAUUAAUACUAUUACCAUUUGUAAAUGUUAAUUUUUUAUUUUGUGGCUUCCUGAUGACACUGUAAUUAAAAUUCUUGCUGUUUUUUUUUGUCAUUGUAAAUAAACAGGACGUGCCAGUCACAGUUUGAUACAGCUUUGUUUCUCUCCUGUUUUACUGAGUCUGAAUGUUGGCAUCGUUAGUGUUAAAAGGUGCAGUGAUGGUAUCUGAUCAUCGGAGGGCAGCAGUAUUAUGGUUAGGUGCAGUAACUGGUGCCGAUCAACAGAGGGCAGCAGUAUUAUGGUUAGGUGCAGUGAUGGGUGUUGACCAACAGGGGAGACAAUUUUAUAAACACGGUGACCGGCAGUUGAUGCUGUUUCACGGACAGAAUCCACAACCAGGCUGGUAAAGGCCUUGUGGGUCGUGUAACGCUAAAGCAACAGGUAAAGGUUUAUUCCGCACUGAAAAGAGAUGAAAAGACUUGAAGAGGGCUCCACACACCUGAAACGUCUCUUUUCAGCGUGGAAUAAACCUUUACUUGUUCCUCUGCAUGGUGAUGCAGCUCCCUGCUUGAACUACUUCUAACACUUGAGUUGAGGCCAUAAUUAAACAAAGUGUCUUUAUUUUCUGAGUUUAGCAGUAUUGCACAUUAUUAAAUGAAAAAGUGAUUAAGUCAAUGUCUCCUGG